This 638-nucleotide unclassified non-coding RNA is filed under the name Hevea brasiliensis (rubber tree). The record is from RNAcentral. Lineage: Eukaryota; Viridiplantae; Streptophyta; Magnoliopsida; Malpighiales; Euphorbiaceae.
CAGCUGCUUCCUAGUUCUAGUAACCUAGCAACGCAUUUAAAUCAGGGUGGUCCUUCUGACAGUGCUCCCCCAGGACAUGUUGUUUCUUCUACUACACAACAGCAUUUACAGCAAGUUCCACCAGUCAGCCAGCAAAUCUCUACACUACAGAAACCCCUCCAAUCUUCCCAGCAUUUGCCUCCUCUUCAAUUACAUCCUCAAGUUACAUCUUAUUCACAGACAGAGACUUCCCAUGUUGGUCAAUUACAUGCUCCACUUAUUGCUGGUCAAACUCCAUUCACUCAAGCACCUCCAUCACAGCAGUAUCUUGGUAUGAGUGGACAGUUGUCUGCUUCUCAAUCUCAGCUCCAGCAGGGUGCCUCAACUGGUACAUCAUUAUCAGCGCCUUUGAAUAUCAACCUACAAUCUCAUUCUGUGUCUGCUGUGACAAAUCAACAACAGAUGCCUGCUCCUGUCCAGCAGCAACUGCUCCAGCCUCCUCAGCAGUCCCCCUCUCAGUUAGCUCAGAUGCUGUCGCAACAGACACAAACUUUGCAAGCAACCUUUCAGUCAUCUCAGCAGGUGUUCUCACAGCUUCAACAACAAUUGCAGAUGAUGCAACCAUCAAAUCAAGGUCUAACAUUGCAGCAGAGUUCUCA